AGGAGGAACAGCCCCAGUGGUGGGGCCAGCUCUGGAGCCCUGGAGUCAGCUCCUGCAGUAACCCCAGAGCUCUCCGUCUGCAGGGCCUGGAGGCUCCGGGGCGGG
This 105-nucleotide microRNA precursor is filed under the name Canis lupus familiaris (dog). RNAcentral's name for it is "mir-8834 microRNA precursor family". It matches the Rfam family "mir-8834 microRNA precursor family". The record is from Rfam by way of RNAcentral. Lineage: Eukaryota; Metazoa; Chordata; Mammalia; Carnivora; Canidae.